RNAcentral lists this ribosomal RNA (280 nucleotides) under Vibrio parahaemolyticus. RNAcentral's name for it is "partial 23S ribosomal RNA". It matches the Rfam family "Bacterial large subunit ribosomal RNA", at positions 1396 to 1676 of the family's 2925-position model. Lineage: Bacteria; Pseudomonadati; Pseudomonadota; Gammaproteobacteria; Vibrionales; Vibrionaceae. The record is from RNAcentral.
GCGAGGCCGAAAGGCGUAGUCGAUGGGAAACGGGUUAAUAUUCCCGUACUUCUUACAAUUGCGAUGGGGGGACGGAGAAGGCUAGGUGGGCCUGGCGACGGUUGUCCAGGUUCAAGUGCGUAGGCUUAAGAGUUAGGUAAAUCCGGCUCUUUUUAAGGCUGAGACACGACGUCGAGCACCUACGGGUGUGAAGUCAUUGAUGCCAUGCUUCCAGGAAAAGCCUCUAAGCUUCAGAUUGUAAGGAAUCGUACCCCAAACCGACACAGGUGGUCGGGUAGAG